UUAAAUAUUAUAUAGUACUCAGACAUCACUAAACAUAGAGUUUGGGUCCUCUGGCAGACACUAUCAGCCGGAGCCGACGCCCGAAGGCGGCCUGCCAAAGCAACAAAGGUAUGUAGACACGGUUUAAGGGAAUAGAACCCAUUCUUAUGAAAAAAACGGGACGUUUCUCUUUUUUUUAAUGAUCCUUCCGCAGGUUCACCUACGGAAA
This 208-nucleotide unclassified non-coding RNA is filed under the name uncultured fungus. RNAcentral describes it as "sequence contains ITS1, 5.8S rRNA gene". The record is from RNAcentral. Lineage: Eukaryota; Fungi.